This 513-nucleotide ribosomal RNA is filed under the name Bacillus subtilis. Its description in RNAcentral is "bacterial SSU rRNA". It matches the Rfam family "Bacterial small subunit ribosomal RNA", at positions 28 to 524 of the family's 1533-position model. The record is from RNAcentral. Lineage: Bacteria; Bacillati; Bacillota; Bacilli; Caryophanales; Bacillaceae.
GACGAACGCUGGCGGCGUGCCUAAUACAUGCAAGUCGAGCGGACAGAUGGGAGCUUGCUCCCUGAUGUUAGCGGCGGACGGGUGAGUAACACGUGGGUAACCUGCCUGUAAGACUGGGAUAACCCCGGGAAACCGGGGCUAAUACCGGAUGGUUGCCUGAACCGCAUGGUUCAGACAUAAAAGGUGGCUUCGGCUACCACUUACAGAUGGACCCGCGGCGCAUUAGCUAGUUGGUGAGGUAACGGCUCACCAAGGCGACGAUGCGUAGCCGACCUGAGAGGGUGAUCGGCCACACUGGGACUGAGACACGGCCCAGACUCCUACGGGAGGCAGCAGUAGGGAAUCUUCCGCAAUGGACGAAAGUCUGACGGAGCAACGCCGCGUGAGUGAUGAAGGUUUUCGGAUCGUAAAGCUCUGUUGUUAGGGAAGAACAAGUGCCGUUCAAAUAGGGCGGCACCUUGACGGUACCUAACCAGAAAGCCACGGCUAAUACGUGCCAGCAGCCGCGGUAAU